This 253-nucleotide ribosomal RNA is filed under the name uncultured bacterium. RNAcentral describes it as "partial 16S ribosomal RNA". It matches the Rfam family "Bacterial small subunit ribosomal RNA", at positions 524 to 776 of the family's 1533-position model. The record is from RNAcentral.
UACAGAGGGUGCAAGCGUUAAUCGGAAUUACUGGGCGUAAAGCGCAUGUAGGUGGAACGAUAAGUUUGAUGUGAAAGCCCUGGGCUUAACCUGGGAAUGGCGUUGAAGACUGUUGUUCUAGAGUUUGACAGAGGGUCGUGGAAUUUCCGGUGUAGCGGUGAAGUGCGUAGAUAUCGGGAGGAACACCUGUGGCGAAAGCGGCGCACUGGACCACAACUGACGCUGAGGCGCGAAAGCUAGGGGAGCAAACAGG